AUGAUGAGAAAAAUUACUAGCAAUUCCAUUGGUCAUAAUCUGCUUGAGUCAAAAUUUCCUCAAUCUUCUGAUUUUGUGUGCACGUCUUGUGCCACCGGAAAGCUAAUUUUGAGGCCCUCACACCUCAAAAUACAAGCUGAACCACUUCAGUUCCUUGAACGUAUUCAAGGAGACAUUUGUGGUCCCAUUCAGCCAUUAUCUGGACCUUUCCGGUAUUUCAUGGUUCUGAUUGACGCAUCUACACGAUGGUCACAUGUGUGUCUUCUAUCCACACGAAACCAUGCAUUUGCCAAGAUAAUGAGGCAAGUCAUUAAGUUGCAAGCCCAUUAUCCUGAAAGUCGAAUUAAAUCAAUUCAAAUGGACAAUGCUGCAGAAUUCUCCUCACGUGCUUUCAAUGAUUAUUGCAUGGCUUUGGGGAUUGAAGUUCAGCACUCUGUUCCAUAUGUCCAUACACAAAAUGAUUUGGCUGAAGCGUUGAUUAAGAGGAUCAAACUCAUUGCAAGACCUUUGUUGAUGAAUUGCAACUUGCCAACCUCUUGUUGGGGUCACGCUGUUUUACAUGCUGCUGACUUGAUACAAUUGAGGCCAACUGCAUAUCACAGUUCUUCCCCUCUGGAAUUGGUACGUGGAAAUCCUCCAAGCAUUUCCCAUCUGCGUAAGUUCGGAUGUGCUGCAUACAUCCCGAUCUCACCACCACAGCGGACAUCUAUGGGCCCACACAGGAAGUUGGGGAUCUAUGUGGGGUACAAAUCGCCGUCGAUUAUUAAGUACCUGGAACCCCUGAUUGGGGAUCUGUUCACAGCUCGUCACGCUGAUUGCAUAUUUAAUGAGGAACAUUUUCCGGCAUUAGGGGGAGAUUUCAAGUACCAGAAAGAAUGCCCGGAAAUUAAUUAG
This 894-nucleotide ribosomal RNA is filed under the name Triticum aestivum (bread wheat). Its description in RNAcentral is "partial small subunit ribosomal RNA". The record is from RNAcentral. Lineage: Eukaryota; Viridiplantae; Streptophyta; Magnoliopsida; Poales; Poaceae.